UACGUAGGGUGCAAGCGUUGUCCGGAAUUAUUGGGCGUAAAGAGCUCGUAGGCGGUUUGUUGCGUCGGCUGUGAAAUCCCGAGGCUCAACCUCGGGUCUGCAGUCGAUACGAGCAAACUAGAGUGUUGCAGGGGAGACUGGAAUUCCUGGUGUAGCGGUGAAAUGCGUAGAUAUCUGGAGGAACACCGGUGGCGAAGGCGACAUCCUGGACCGGUAUUGACGCUGAGGCGCGAAAGCCAGGGGAGCAAACGGG
RNAcentral lists this ribosomal RNA (253 nucleotides) under uncultured bacterium. RNAcentral describes it as "partial 16S ribosomal RNA". It matches the Rfam family "Bacterial small subunit ribosomal RNA", at positions 524 to 776 of the family's 1533-position model. The record is from RNAcentral.